UGCCUCGUGGCGGAAUGAAACGCGGCGGACCGCAAAUCCGUGCAUCCCCGGUUCAAAUCCGGGGCGAGGCAUCCA
Molecule: transfer RNA, 75 nt
Filed under: Mesorhizobium sp.
Lineage: Bacteria; Pseudomonadati; Pseudomonadota; Alphaproteobacteria; Hyphomicrobiales; Phyllobacteriaceae
Description: tRNA-Cys
Rfam family: tRNA
About the family: Transfer RNA (tRNA) molecules are approximately 80 nucleotides in length.
Source: RNAcentral